GCGGACAUGGUGGAAUUGGUAGACACGCUAGAUUUAGGAUCUAGUGAAAUUAUUUCGUGAGAGUUCAAGUCUCUCUGUCCGCA
RNAcentral lists this transfer RNA (83 nucleotides) under Gracilariopsis heteroclada. RNAcentral's name for it is "tRNA-Leu". It matches the Rfam family "tRNA". Rfam says of the family: Transfer RNA (tRNA) molecules are approximately 80 nucleotides in length. Their secondary structure includes four short double-helical elements and three loops (D, anti-codon, and T loops). Lineage: Eukaryota; Rhodophyta; Florideophyceae; Gracilariales; Gracilariaceae. RNAcentral also lists the same sequence under 2 other names. The record is from RNAcentral.